Molecule: transfer RNA, 69 nt
Filed under: Rattus norvegicus (Norway rat)
Lineage: Eukaryota; Metazoa; Chordata; Mammalia; Rodentia; Muridae
Rfam family: tRNA
About the family: Transfer RNA (tRNA) molecules are approximately 80 nucleotides in length. Their secondary structure includes four short double-helical elements and three loops (D, anti-codon, and T loops). Further hydrogen bonds mediate the characteristic L-shaped molecular structure. tRNAs have two regions of fundamental functional importance: the anti-codon, which is responsible for specific mRNA codon recognition, and the 3' end, to which the tRNAs corresponding amino acid is attached (by aminoacyl-tRNA synthetases). tRNAs cope with the degeneracy of the genetic code in two manners: having more than one tRNA (with a specific anti-codon) for a particular amino acid; and 'wobble' base-pairing, i.e. permitting non-standard base-pairing at the 3rd anti-codon position.
Source: Rfam by way of RNAcentral
GGGGAUUUAGCUCAGUGGUAGAGCGCUUGCCUAGCAAGCACAAGGCUCUGGGUUCGGUUCCCAGCUCCG